This 888-nucleotide ribosomal RNA is filed under the name uncultured bacterium. Its description in RNAcentral is "bacterial SSU rRNA". It matches the Rfam family "Bacterial small subunit ribosomal RNA", at positions 9 to 896 of the family's 1533-position model. The record is from RNAcentral.
GAGUUUGAUCCUGGCUCAGGAUGAACGCUAGCGGCAGGCCUAAUACAUGCAAGUCGAGGGGCAUCGGGAGUAGCAAUACUUGCCGGCGACCGGCGCACGGGUGCGUAACACGUAUGCAAUCUACCUGUAACUGGGGGAUAGCCCGAAGAAAUUCGGAUUAAUACCCCAUAACAUAAUGAAGUGGCAUCACUUUAUUAUUAAAGAAUUUCGGUUACAGAUGAGCAUGCGUCCGAUUAGCUAGUUGGUGAGGUAACGGCUCACCAAGGCGACGAUCGGUAGGGGUACUGAGAGGUUACACCCCCACACUGGUACUGAGACACGGACCAGACUCCUACGGGAGGCAGCAGUAAGGAAUAUUGGACAAUGGUCGCAAGACUGAUCCAGCCAUGCCGCGUGCAGGAUGAAUGCCCUAUGGGUUGUAAACUGCUUUUAUACGGGAAUAAACCCCUCUACGUGUAGAGGGCUGAAUGUACCGUAAGAAUAAGGGUCGGCUAACUUCGUGCCAGCAGCCGCGGUAAUACGAAGGACCCAAGCGUUAUCCGGAUUCAUUGGGUUUAAAGGGUGCGUAGGCGGAUUGAUAAGUCAGUGGUGAAAGCCUGCAGCUUAACUGCAGAAGUGCCAUUGAUACUGUCGAUCUUGAAUAUGUUUGAUGUGGGCGGAAUAUGACAUGUAGCGGUGAAAUGCUUAGAUAUGUCAUAGAACACCGAUUGCGAAGGCAGCUCACAAAGCCAUUAUUGACGCUGAGGCACGAAAGUGUGGGGAUCAAACAGGAUUAGAUACCCUGGUAGUCCACACUGUAAACGUUGAUCACUCGCUGUUGGCGAUACACUGUCAGCGGCUAAGCGAAAGCGUUAAGUGAUCCACCUGGGGAGUACGACCGCAAGGUUG